CUCGUAGGCGGCUUGGCAAGUCGGGUGUGAAAACUCCAGGCUCAACCUGGAGAUGCCACUCGAGACUGCUAUGGCUAGAGUCCGGUAGGGGACCACGGAAUUCCUGGUGUAGCGGUGAAAUGCGCAGAUAUCAGGAGGAACACCGGUGGCGAAGGCGGUGGUCUGGGCCGGCACUGACGCUGAGGAGCGAAAGCGUGGGGAGCAAACAGGAUUAGAUACCCUGGUAGUCCACGCCGUAAACGUUGGGCACUAGGUGUGGGGCCUUAUCAACGGGUUCCGUGCCGUAGCUAACGCAUUAAGUGCCCCGCCUGGGGAGUACGGCCGCAAGGCUAAA
Molecule: ribosomal RNA, 334 nt
Filed under: uncultured Actinomycetes bacterium
Lineage: Bacteria; Bacillati; Actinomycetota; Actinomycetes
Description: bacterial SSU rRNA
Rfam family: Bacterial small subunit ribosomal RNA
Source: RNAcentral